This 60-nucleotide non-coding RNA is filed under the name Enterobacteria phage phi80. Lineage: Duplodnaviria; Heunggongvirae; Uroviricota; Caudoviricetes. The record is from RNAcentral.
GUUACUUGCCGUAACACAGUGUGAUAAGGGCCUUUGAAGUUACCGCUUCAAGGGCUUUUU